RNAcentral lists this ribosomal RNA (494 nucleotides) under uncultured bacterium. RNAcentral describes it as "partial 16S ribosomal RNA". It matches the Rfam family "Bacterial small subunit ribosomal RNA", at positions 28 to 507 of the family's 1533-position model. The record is from RNAcentral.
GACGAACGCUGGCGGCGUGCUUAACACAUGCAAGUCGAACGGUGAAGCGCCUUCCUUUUUGGUGGGUGUGGAUGAGUGGCGAACGGGUGAGUAACACGUGAGUAACCUGCCCCCUUCUUCUGGAUAACCGCAUGAAAGUGUGGCUAAUACGGGAUAUUCUGGGUCUGUCGCAUGAUGGGUCUGGGAAAGAUAUUGUUUCGGUGUGGGAUGGGCUCGCGGCCUAUCAGCUUGUUGGUGUGGUGAUGGCCUACCAAGGCGGUGACGGGUAGCCGGCCUGAGAGGGUGGACGGUCACACUGGGACAGAGACACGGCCCAGACUCCUACGGGAGGCAGCAGUGGGGAAUAGUGCACAAUGGGCGCAAGCCUGAUGCAGCGACGCCGCGUGAGGGAUGGAGGCCUGCGGGUUGUGAACAUCUUUCGCCAGUGAAGCAGGCCUGCCUCGUUUGUGGGUGGGUUGACGGUAGCUGGAUAAGAAGCGCCGGCUAACUACGUG